Molecule: small RNA, 264 nt
Filed under: Drosophila yakuba
Lineage: Eukaryota; Metazoa; Arthropoda; Insecta; Diptera; Drosophilidae
Description: GE27440
Source: RNAcentral
UUUCGAUAUGAAGGCUUGUUUUCAAUUCUUCUGUUUGCUUUCAGUGGGACAAUUGCUCGGAGUGAUAUAGCAAAUUGCGUUCUUGAUUACAAUCCAAUUUGUGUUGUACAUGAGGAUUGCGGUUUCACACUGAAUAGCAAAUGCUUGUUAGACUUGCAUAAAAAUGUUUUUUACCAUAAAAACCAAGCGACUUUUGAAUCAUUUAUAAGCGGACCCUGUCCGAAGGAUAAACAAAAGUGCCCAUACAAAAAUUAUUUAUCAGGA